This 455-nucleotide ribosomal RNA is filed under the name uncultured bacterium. RNAcentral's name for it is "bacterial SSU rRNA". It matches the Rfam family "Bacterial small subunit ribosomal RNA", at positions 340 to 789 of the family's 1533-position model. The record is from RNAcentral.
UACGGGCAGCAGUGGGGAAUAUUGCACAAUGGGCGCAAGCCUGAUGCAGCCAUGCCGCGUGUAUGAAGAAGGCCUUCGGGUUGUAAAGUACUUUCAGUCGUGAGGAAGGUGUUAAGGUUAAUAACCUUAGCAAUUGACGUUAGCGACAGAAGAAGCACCGGCUAACUCCGUGCCAGCAGCCGCGGUAAUACGGAGGGUGCGAGCGUUAAUCGGAAUUACUGGGCGUAAAGGGCACGCAGGCGGUUAAUUAAGUUGGAUGUGAAAUCCCCCGGGCUUAACCUGGGAAUGGCAUUCAAGACUGGUUAGCUAGAGUCUUGUAGAGGGGGUUAGAAUUCCAUGUGUAGCGGUGAAACUGCGUAGAGAUGUGGAGGAAUACCGGUGGCGAAGGCGGCCCCUGGACAAAGACUGACGCUCAUGUGCGAAAGCUGGGGAGCAAACAGGGAUUAGAUACCCGU